GACGAACGCUGGCGGCGUGCCUAAUACAUGCAAGUCGAACGCUGAAGGAGGAGCUUGCUCUUCUGGAUGAGUUGCGAACGGGUGAGUAACGCGUAGGUAACCUGCCUGGUAGCGGGGGAUAACUAUUGGAAACGAUAGCUAAUACCGCAUAACAGUAGAUGUUGCAUGACAUUUACUUAAAAGGUGCAAUUGCAUCACUACCAGAUGGACCUUCGUUGUAUUAGCUAGGUGGUGGGGUAACGGCUCACCUAGGCGACGAUACAUAGCCGACCGGAGAGGGGGGUCGGCCGCACUGGGACUGAGACCCGGCACAUACGCCUACGGGAGGGAGCAGGAGGGAAACUUCGGACAGCGGCGGAAGUCUGAGCGAGAAACGCCGAGGGAGUGAAGAAGGAUUUCGGGUCGUAAAGCUCGGUUGUAAGAGAAGAAAGAGUGUGAGAGUGGAAAGUUCACACUGUGACGGUAUCUUACCAGAAAGAGACGGCUAACUACGUG
RNAcentral lists this ribosomal RNA (495 nucleotides) under uncultured bacterium. RNAcentral describes it as "partial 16S ribosomal RNA". It matches the Rfam family "Bacterial small subunit ribosomal RNA", at positions 28 to 507 of the family's 1533-position model. The record is from RNAcentral.